GACGAACGCUGGCGGCGUGCUUAACACAUGCAAGUCGAACGGGAAGGCCCUGCUUUUGUGGGGUGCUCGAGUGGCGAACGGGUGAGUAACACGUGAGUAACCUGCCCUUGACUUUGGGAUAACUUCAGGAAACUGGGGCUAAUACCGGAUAGGAGCUCCUGCUGCAUGGUGGGGGUUGGAAAGUUUCGGCGGUUGGGGAUGGACUCGCGGCUUAUCAGCUUGGUGGUGGGGUAGUGGCUUACCAAGGCUUUGACGGGUAGCCGGCCUGAGAGGGUGACCGGCCACAUUGGGCCUGGGAUGCGGCCCAGACUCCUCCGGGAGGCAGCAGUGGGGAAUAUUGCACUAUGGGCGGAAGCCUGAUGCAGCAACGCCGCGUGCGGGAUGACGGCCUUCGGGUUGUAAACCGCUUUCGCCUGUGACGAAGCGUGAGUGACGGUAAUGGGUAAAGAAGCACCGGCUAACUACGUG
RNAcentral lists this ribosomal RNA (468 nucleotides) under uncultured bacterium. RNAcentral describes it as "partial 16S ribosomal RNA". It matches the Rfam family "Bacterial small subunit ribosomal RNA", at positions 28 to 507 of the family's 1533-position model. The record is from RNAcentral.